CGUAAGACGUAAAAUAUAACUUUUAACGUUAGAUUUUACGUAAAAUAUAUAAAAUAACGUAAAAGAAACGGUUGGGUUUAGGAAAGGAAGAACGGGGAAAGCAAACGUGACUCGCAGGAAACGAGCCCCGGUCUCUGGGGUGAAAGUCCUGUGUUUUUCCCUCACACACAUUCUUCCUCUAACUGCUAUGGCGUCAAUUCACACACAAUCGCAAUUGGUAUACGGAAGUACCGGAAGUACAUGCCACUUAAAAAUCUAACUCCCUCUUCACUUGGACACAAGUCCGUUGGCGGCCAGCAAGAGCAAGAGAAAGUUGAAAGUUGAAGUGCCGUGCAAAGAUGUCCUGUAAAGACAGAAUAAGGAAACAGAAAAAGAAGGACCUGCAGGAGGCAGCAAAAGGCAGUGGAUCCCUAAGCAGCUGGGUUAUUAGGAGCACCACAGGAAACUUCCAAGACAGCUCAUCAGAGAUCCCGCCCCACGCCUCAUCCAUCCAGAUCUUCAGCCAACUCUCUUCACCACCACCACUUCCACCUGUGUCUAGACUCCAUCGGGGGACUAUUUCUGUAAUGCUCACGGCAUCACCACCGCCUAAUAAUGAUGACGUCCUGAUGGGAUCUAAUCGCCAAAGUCUUUAUUGUGCGCCAUAUCAAAAAAAUGUAUUUGAUCACUCUUAAAAUUAAGGUCUCUUCUGAUUGAAAUGGCUUUUGUCACACCAGCUAGUAGCAUUUGCAUUUUCUACAUGCACUUUAUAUUCAGCUAAUUAUAAAUGAAAUA
Molecule: long non-coding RNA, 774 nt
Organism: Perca flavescens (yellow perch)
Lineage: Eukaryota; Metazoa; Chordata; Actinopteri; Perciformes; Percidae
Exons: 3
Source: RefSeq, a predicted model, not a curated record